RNAcentral lists this non-coding RNA (105 nucleotides) under Halobacillus mangrovi. RNAcentral describes it as "TPP sequence". It matches the Rfam family "TPP riboswitch aptamer (THI element)". From Rfam's summary of the family: Vitamin B(1) in its active form thiamin pyrophosphate (TPP) is an essential coenzyme that is synthesised by coupling of pyrimidine and thiazole moieties in bacteria. Lineage: Bacteria; Bacillati; Bacillota; Bacilli; Caryophanales; Bacillaceae. The record is from RNAcentral.
GAACUUCACUAGGGGAGUCAUGACUUGACUGAGAGAAGCGCAGAGCUUUGACCCUUAUAACCUGAUCUAGCUCAUACUAGCGUAGGGAAGUGAAGCGAGUUAUCG